RNAcentral lists this ribosomal RNA (378 nucleotides) under uncultured bacterium. RNAcentral's name for it is "bacterial SSU rRNA". It matches the Rfam family "Bacterial small subunit ribosomal RNA", at positions 29 to 419 of the family's 1533-position model. The record is from RNAcentral.
AAUCAACGCUGGCGGCGCGCUUAACACAUGCAAGUCGAACGAGAAAGUGGAGCAAUCCAUGAGUAAAGUGGCGCACGGGUGAGUAACACGUGGGUAAUCUGCCCUCUGGUGGGGAAUAACUCUGGGAAACCGGAGCUAAUACCGCAUAAGAUCGAGAGAUGAAAGGUCGAAAGAUCGCCGGAGGAGGAGCCCGCGGCCGAUUAGCUAGUUGGUAGGGUAAGAGCCACCAAGGCUGAGAUCGGUAGCCGGCCUGAGAGGGCACACGGCCACACUGGCACUGAAACACGGGCCAGACUCCUACGGGAGGCAGCAGUGGGGAAUCUUGCACAAUGGGGGAAACCCUGAUGCAGCGACGCCGCGUGAGUGAUGAAGCCCUUC